This 270-nucleotide ribosomal RNA is filed under the name uncultured bacterium. RNAcentral describes it as "partial 16S ribosomal RNA". It matches the Rfam family "Bacterial small subunit ribosomal RNA", at positions 88 to 354 of the family's 1533-position model. The record is from RNAcentral.
CCGGCGACCGGCGCACGGGUGAGUAACACGUAUGCAACCUGGCCGUGACAGAUGGAUAACCGGGAGAAAUCCCGCCUAAUACAACAUAAUGCCGGGAGGGGACAUCCCCUGCCGGCCAAAGGGGGCGACCCCGGUCACGGAUGGGCAUGCGGCGCAUUAGGUAGUUGGUGGGGCAACGGCCCACCAAGCCGACGAUGCGUAGGGGUUCUGAGAGGAAGGUCCCCCACAUUGGAACUGAGACACGGACCAGACUCCUACGGGAGGCAGCAG